UGGAGGGAGAAGGUGGCAGCUGGAGUGUGGUGGGUGCAGGCAGUCUGGGGAAGGGUGGGAGAUGGUUUGGGAGGUGCUGUCAGAGAAGUGCUGGAUGGAAUGAGCUGUGCCUGGGAUGGUCCAGGGUGAGAGCCCUGGGUGGGUGGAGGGAGCUCUGCGAGGGUGUGAUGCCGAGGGAGGAACCUGUCCAGAGAUGUGAGUCUGGGUGAGGAACUGUGGGAAGGGACCACCCCAGGGAGGAGCAGGGGACAGGAGAUGGCUGGAAUGGAGGCUGGGGUAGGGCUGGUGUCUCGUUCUGAGAUGUGCUGGCGAGCUGACUUGACAGCCACCCCUUUGGUGCAGCAGAAUCGGUGAUUUCGAGGGGCUGGGGCUGCAAACAGGCACCGUCAGGGAGGAGAAUGGCAGAACUUCUGGCAGUUUUCAUCUUGGGAAUUGCAGAGAUGCUGGAGAAGAGUUGGAGGUGGAGCAGCACGAGCCCCUCUGGGUGUGUGUCUGUGUCUGGCCCCGUUUGCAGCUGCGGAGCAAACGCUGCCGGGUGGUGGAAGCUGAGGGUCCCUGAGUGUUCACUGCAGGUCCCAUGUGGAGCUGCUCUUCCUUCUUGGAGGCAGAUGGACUCCUGUGAAGGUCCUCCUGAGCACUGGUGUUAAACAGGGGGCUUUGGUAUUGGAUUUGUAGGAGCAGGAGAUGUUCUGUGAUGGGUUUUCUCGGGCUUUUCAGGAGCUUUUCAUGCAGGAGCGUUUCAUGCAUCCCUGGGGCCCAUGUGGAGCUGCUGUUCCUGUUUGGAAGCAGAUGGACUCCUGUGAAGGUUCUCCUGGAUGCUGGUGUUAAACAGGGAUCUUGGCAGUGGAUUUAGAGGAGCAGGAGAUGCUCUUUGAUGGCUUUCCUCGGGGCUCUUCAGAGCAGCUGCUUUCAAGCUGGUUUCAAGCUCUCCAAGAGCACGUGCAAGUGAAGGGUGUCUGUGUUGUCUGUGACUGUCCUGCAGCUGUUGGAUGACAAAGGCAAUAAUCAAUGGAGUUAUUUCGUUUGUAAGACAGAGAAAGAAUCCCAGCAGAGGAGAGCCUGUCCUUGAUCUGGUUGUGCCUGAUAAUGAGAAACGAAAUGAGAUGUGAGCGCCCCAAGCCAAGGGAGAACCAAUAGUUGCUGGCUCUGAAAUCACAAGGUCACGGGGAGAAGUGGUUCAGAGGCACAGCAAGGGCUGAAUCUCCAGCCUGGAAAGCAGGGGGGGAUUAGGAACACCCUGAGUCUUCUCGUUCCUUUGCACUUGGCGAUUAGGAGGAGUUACUCUGGAGCAACUGUUACCUCGUGCAUCCGACAGGGCUUCCUGGCUCUGGUGACAUCCCCACUGCAGUGUCUGAGCUGGAAUAAAUGGUAAAUUGGAUUUCUGUUGGCCGGGGCUGUGGCUUUGUUGAGUUAUUGCCGUGGCCGCGCUCGGCUGUGCUGGGGGUUGUUUCCAUGGGAGGAUUAUUUUCCCGGUGAAUAAAGUUCUCGCAGUGAGGAUGUAGCUUUUGUUGGGGAAGGCUUUGCAGCUCCUGUCUGAUGAGCAGCCAGCUGGUUUCCUCUGGAAUUCCUUUAUCUAAGCCAGAAGCACCGAGGAGCGGGGCUGGAGGAUCGGGAUCCCUGCGGGAAGGUUGGGAAGCCAUUCACAACUUGGAAGGUUGAGCCAAAGCUUUAAACUUAAUUUAACUCCCCGUGCCCGUGGUGAUCUGGAACAGCUGCCUCCUCCCCAGGCUGCUCUUCCAGCAGCAUUCCCACUCCCAGUGUUGGAAAAGCAGUGGGACAGGGAGUCUGGUCAGUGAGUUGAGUCCUUGACCCCACACAGCUUCACAACCCCCACAAACUGCUCACCCUCCACCUUUAAACCCACUGAUGCUUUUCCUCCUGCUAUUCCAGUGGGAAGGCUGUUCUGGAACCUUCCAGACUUCUGGAAGUAAAAAGUAUACAUAUAAGUAGAUAUAAAUAUGUAUAAAAUAUGUAGAUGUAUAAUAAAUAGAAUAUAAACACAAUAAAUAAGAAAUAGAAUAAUAAACAGAUGUAAUAAUAAAUAUAAUAAUACAUUUAAUAAAUAUAGAUGUAACAUUUUCACUCGUGUGAAUUUUGUAUGUGCACUCUCAAAAUAGACACCUAUAAAUAUAUCAAAUGCAUAAUCAGUAGUUUAUUCAGUAGUUAAUACAGGAGAACUCUCUAACUCAAGUGUAUUUUCUAAUAGUUCCAAGGUAUCAUUAGUUACAGUCUCAGGUUGUAAUAAGAACAUUCAUCAGCCUUCCUGGGCUGAUCUGGAACAAGAGGAAAACCAAACAAACCAGAACAAGCUUCAGUAAAUAUAUUUAUUAUGUAUACGGGUGUCAUUGCUUUGUUUCAAACACCAUAAAUAGUUACCUUUGCUUAUUUCAUAUUUCCAAGUUUGCCAAAGUUAAAAACCAGUUUUUACUGGAAACCACUGACCAGGGUGGUUGAAUGGCUCACACUUGAAAACAGGCUUGUCUAAAAUACACAGGUUUCUCUGGCAAGGAAUUCAAAGAAAUAUGCAGCAACUACUUUUAAAAUCCCAAGUUUUUCAUCUCUCCCGACCCCAGAAACGAGCGUUGGUGGCCGGUUUAAUCAUUCCUGGUGUUCCUUCAGACACAACAGCCUGCUGGGAGACAUCAAAGGCACCCUGACCAGGUCCUGGCUGGGGAGAAAGGAGGUUUCUUGUUCCCUUUUCCUGGCAAAUGGCACAGCUUAGUCACCAGUUCUACCUGCCAGGUUGAGGUUGGUGAUGUGCCCGUCAGGGAUCCCGGGGAGUCCCGGCUCUGGUGAGGGCUGGGCAUGGGAGCAGCAUCCCAUGGGAUCAUCUCCUGGUGCUCAGUGCCUCCAGGGUGUCUCCAGCUCCAGCUGCCUUGUCCUGACUCCUUGUGUUCUCCACAGCACUGGGCAGAGCUGGGAGCCACCAGGACCUUUGCCCUGGAGCUUUUGUGGUUCUUGGUUCCCUCGGGUCUCCUGCAGCCCUUGGGCACCAACUGCUGUUGUCUCCUGAGGAGCAGCUGAACUCCCCCGGGGCUGAAAUGGGUUAAAAACCGGCAGAGAUCCCCAACA
Molecule: long non-coding RNA, 3072 nt
Organism: Pseudopipra pipra
Lineage: Eukaryota; Metazoa; Chordata; Aves; Passeriformes; Pipridae
Exons: 2
Source: RefSeq, a predicted model, not a curated record